GACGAACGCUGGCGGCGUGCUUAACACAUGCAAGUCGAACGGAAAGGCCCUGCUUUUGUGGGGUGCUCGAGUGGCGAACGGGUGAGUAACACGUGAGUAACCUGCCCUUGACUUUGGGAUAACUUCAGGAAGCUGGGGCUAAUACCGGAUAGGAGCUCCUGCUGCAUGGGGGGGGUUGGAAAGUUUCGGCGGUUGGGGAUGGUCUCGCGGCUUAUCAGCUUGUUGGUGGGGUAGUGGCUUACCAAGGGUUUGACGGGUAGCCGGCCUGGGAGGGUGACCGGCCACAUGGGGACUGAGAUACGGCCCAGACUCCUACGGGCGGCAGCAGUGGGGAAUAUUGCACAAUGGGCGGAAGCCUGAUGCAGCAACGCCGCGUGCGGGAUGACGGCCUUCGGGUUGUAAACCGCUUUCGCCUGUGACGAAGCGUGAGUGACGGUAAUGGGUAAAGAAGCACCGGCUAACUACGUG
Molecule: ribosomal RNA, 468 nt
Filed under: uncultured bacterium
Lineage: Bacteria
Description: partial 16S ribosomal RNA
Rfam family: Bacterial small subunit ribosomal RNA
Source: RNAcentral